Molecule: non-coding RNA, 79 nt
Organism: Potamilus streckersoni
Lineage: Eukaryota; Metazoa; Mollusca; Bivalvia; Unionida; Unionidae
Source: the annotation of a GenBank genome assembly
GUUACGAUGCCCUAAGUGGUUAGAGUGUCCACCUCUGACGUGGGAGGUCGCUGGUUCGAAUCCCGGCUAAGUCAUACCA